GAUGAACGCUGGCGGCGUGCCUAAUACAAGCAAGUCGAGCGAACGGACGAGAAGCUUGCUUCUCUGAUGUUAGCGGCGGACGGGUGAGUAACACGUGGAUAACCUACCUAUAAGACUGGGAUAACUUCGGGAAACCGGAGCUAAAACCGGAUGAUAUUUUGAACCGCAUGGUUCAAAAGUGAAAGACGGUCUUGCUGUCACUUAUAGAUGGAUCCGCGCUGCAUUAGCUAGUUGGUAAGGUAACGGCUUACCAAGGCAACGAUGCAUAGCCGACCUGAGAGGGUGAUCGGCCACACUGGAACUGAGACACGGUCCAGACUCCUACGGGAGGCAGCAGUAGGGAAUCUUCCGCAAUGGGCGAAAGCCUGACGGAGCAACGCCGCGUGAGUGAUGAAGGUCUUCGGAUCGUAAAACUCUGUUAUUAGGGAAGAACAUAUGUGUAAGUAACUGUGCACAUCUUGACGGUACCUAAUCAGAAAGCCACGGCUAACUACGUG
This 497-nucleotide ribosomal RNA is filed under the name uncultured bacterium. RNAcentral describes it as "partial 16S ribosomal RNA". It matches the Rfam family "Bacterial small subunit ribosomal RNA", at positions 28 to 507 of the family's 1533-position model. The record is from RNAcentral.